AAGCGGCGGACGGGUGAAUAUCGCGUAGGUAACCUGCCCUUCAGCGGGGGAUAACGGUCCGAAAGGACCGCUAAUACCGCGUACGUAUCUCGGGGCUCCGGCCCUGAGGUGGAAAGCUAGGUAGCAAUAUCUGGCGCUGGAGGAGGGGCCUGCGUCGCAUCAGCUAGUUGGUGGGGUAACGGCCUACCAAGGCGAAGACGCGUAGCUGGUCUGAGAGGAUGAUCAGCCACACUGGGACUGAGACACGGCCCAGACUCCUACGGGAGGCAGCAGUGGGGAAUAUUGGACAAUGGGCGCAAGCCUGAUCCAGCCACGCCGCGUGAGUGAUGAAGGCCUUCGGGUCGUAAAGCUCUGUGGGGAGGGACGAACCGCCGGGUAUUAAUACCAUCCGGCAUGACGGUACCUCCUUAGCAAGCACCGGCUAACUUCGUGCCAGCAGCCGCGGUAAUACGAAGGGUGCAAACGUUGCUCGGAAUCAUUGGGCGUAAAGCGCACGUAGGCGGCUUGCCAAGUCGGACGUGAAAUCCCUCAGCUCAACUGAGGACGUGCAUCCGAAACUGGCGAGCUUGAGUACUGAAGAGGAUCGCGGAAUUCCCGGUGUAGAGGUGAAAUGCGUAGAGAUGUGGAGGAAUACCGAUGGCGAAGGCAGCCCCCUGGGCCAAUAC
RNAcentral lists this ribosomal RNA (665 nucleotides) under uncultured bacterium. RNAcentral describes it as "bacterial SSU rRNA". It matches the Rfam family "Bacterial small subunit ribosomal RNA", at positions 93 to 740 of the family's 1533-position model. The record is from RNAcentral.